This 387-nucleotide unclassified non-coding RNA is filed under the name soil metagenome. Its description in RNAcentral is "partial contains 5.8S ribosomal RNA, internal transcribed spacer 2, and large subunit ribosomal RNA". The stretch from base 1 to 120 matches the Rfam family "5.8S ribosomal RNA", at positions 35 to 154 of the family's 154-position model. The record is from RNAcentral.
GAUGAAGAACGCAGCGAAAUGCGAUAAGUAAUGUGAAUUGCAGAAUUCAGUGAAUCAUCGAAUCUUUGAACGCACCUUGCACCCUUUGGCAUUCCGAAGGGUAUGCUCGUUUGAGUGUCAUUGUACUCUCACACUCUCCGAUCCUAUGGAUUUGGGGAGCGGUGGACUUGGGUGUUGCUGCCUUUCCUUGUGGCUCACCUCAAAUGUGUCAGUGCACCUCUUGGUUGGACAUAGUACGGCGUGAUAAGUGUCUUCGCCGGCACCUCGCAAGAGGGUGGCCGAUCGGGAGCUCUGUGCUUUCAAACCGUCUUCGGACAAUUUCUGACAACUUGACCUCAAAUCGAGUAGGACUACCCGCUGAACUUAAGCAUAUCAAUAAGCGGAGGA